UACGUAGGGGGCAAGCGUUGUCCGGAAUCAUUGGGCGUAAAGCGCGUGUAGGCGGCCCGGUAAGUCCGCUGUGAAAGUCGGGGGCUCAACCCUCGAAUGCCGGUGGAUACUGUCGUGCUAGAGUGCGGAAGAGGCGAGUGGAAUUCCUGGUGUAGCGGUGAAAUGCGCAGAUAUCAGGAGGAACACCAAUUGCGAAGGCAGCUCGCUGGGACGUUACUGACGCUGAGACGCGAAAGCGUGGGGAGCAAACAGG
This 253-nucleotide ribosomal RNA is filed under the name uncultured bacterium. Its description in RNAcentral is "partial 16S ribosomal RNA". It matches the Rfam family "Bacterial small subunit ribosomal RNA", at positions 524 to 776 of the family's 1533-position model. The record is from RNAcentral.